This 894-nucleotide ribosomal RNA is filed under the name Triticum aestivum (bread wheat). RNAcentral describes it as "partial small subunit ribosomal RNA". The record is from RNAcentral. Lineage: Eukaryota; Viridiplantae; Streptophyta; Magnoliopsida; Poales; Poaceae.
AUGGGCAAAAAACUGGCCCGUGCACGAGGACGAGACAGUGAUGGAUUUACAGUUUUCUCGCGGGGACAGAAAAAACUAGCGAGCGAGCAACCGUCGUUUGUUCCUCACGCUGCCCCCUCCUCUCCCCGCCGCCGCCGCCCACGAUGGAAUUUCCUCCCUCGUCGCUUCCCCGCACGGCCGCACGCCACCGUCGCCGCCUACGCCUCCGGAUCCCUCGCCCGCCUCGCGGCCACUCACGCCAACAUCCUCGCCCCGGACGACUCCCUAUUGUUGCUCAUCGCGCCCCUCUCCGUCACCCCGUCUCCCCGCUUAGCCUCAUGCCUCGUCAAGGCCGUAGCCACGCUCGUUUCCUGCGUCCUCCGCUCCGGCCCCGCCGCUGUCACGGCAGGCGGCCAGGAUGGUCGCCGAGGGGUUGGACGGCGUGGUGCUGUUCCCGAGGCUGUUUGUGAUGUUUGUCGUGCUGAGGAAGGGGACGCCGCGUUCGCAAGGGAUUUGAUUGCUCGGCGAGAUCUUGCUGCAUUUCGACCGCGGGGAUGGGGAGUGGUAGUAUUCAGUUUUCUGGGGAUUGCACUUGUUGGCAAUGUUGAUAAUGAAACAACUUCAUCUGAAGCUUUAUAUAACUCACCUAAGCUUCUACAUGGUGUGUUUGACCAGUUACUCGAUGAUCUGUUCCUGGAGGUUAAUGAUCACGACAUUGGAAGUCCAGUGUCUGCUUCUACAUGUGCUACUUGUUCAAUGUCUAUAAGAAGAUACUGCGAUCUGCACUUCUGUAGUAGGCUGGGGAUGAUACAUGCGGUUGCAUGUCAGAGUCAUGUUACGAAGUCCAGUGUCUGCUUUUGCAUGUGCUCCAUGUUCCAUGUCUAUAGGAACAGGCCGCGAUCUGCACUUAUGUAG